This 253-nucleotide ribosomal RNA is filed under the name uncultured bacterium. RNAcentral describes it as "partial 16S ribosomal RNA". It matches the Rfam family "Bacterial small subunit ribosomal RNA", at positions 524 to 776 of the family's 1533-position model. The record is from RNAcentral.
UACGGAGGUGGCGAGCGUUGUUCGGAAUCACUGGGCUUAAAGCGCGUGUAGGCGGAAUGCCAGGCGUCGUGUGAAAGCCCCGGUCUCAACCCGGGAACUGCGCGGCGAACCGGUUUUCUUGAGGCAGGUAGAGGUGACUGGAACGACGGGUGGAGCGGUGAAAUGCGUAGAUAUCCGUUGGAACGCCGGCGGCGAAAGCGAGUCACUGGACCUGUCCUGACGCUGAGACGCGAAAGCGUGGGUAGCAAACAGG